RNAcentral lists this ribosomal RNA (497 nucleotides) under uncultured bacterium. RNAcentral's name for it is "partial 16S ribosomal RNA". It matches the Rfam family "Bacterial small subunit ribosomal RNA", at positions 28 to 507 of the family's 1533-position model. The record is from RNAcentral.
GAUGAACGCUGGCGGCGUGCCUAAUACAUGCAAGUCGAGCGAACAGACGAGGAGCUUGCUCCUUUGACGUUAGCGGCGGACGGGUGAGUAACACGUAGGUAACCUACCUAUAAGACUGGGAUAACUUCGGGAAACCGGAGCUAAUACCGGAUAAUAUUUCGAACCGCAUGGUUCGAUAGUGAAAGUUGGCUUUGCUAUCACUUAUAGAUGGACCUGCGCCGUAUUAGCUAGUUGGUAAGGUAACGGCUUACCAAGGCAACGAUACGUAGCCGACCUGAGAGGGUGAUCGGCCACACUGGAACUGAGACACGGUCCAGACUCCUACGGGAGGCAGCAGUAGGGAAUCUUCCGCAAUGGGCGAAAGCCUGACGGAGCAACGCCGCGUGAGUGAUGAAGGUCUUCGGAUCGUAAAACUCUGUUAUUAGGGAAGAACAAACGUGUAAGUAACUGUGCACGUCUUGACGGUACCUAAUCAGAAAGCCACGGCUAACUACGUG